RNAcentral lists this ribosomal RNA (237 nucleotides) under uncultured bacterium. RNAcentral's name for it is "partial 16S ribosomal RNA". It matches the Rfam family "Bacterial small subunit ribosomal RNA", at positions 28 to 267 of the family's 1533-position model. The record is from RNAcentral.
GAUAAACGCUGGCGGCGUGCCUAAUGCAUGCAAGUCGAACGGGUCGCAGCUUCGGCUGUGGUCAGUGGCGGACGGGUGAGGAACACGUACGCAACCUGCCCUCUGGUGGGAAUAACCCUUCGAAGAGGGGCUAAUGCCGCAUCCGCUCACCUGGGUAAGGCGUGGGUGAGGAAAGCCCGUGAGGGCGCUGGAGGGAGGGCGUGGCGGCCGAUUAGCUAGUUGGUGGGUAACGGUCCG